GUAUCAACUUUUAUUUUGUUGAUUUAGAAUUGUAAAGUUGAAAAUAUAUCAUGUAUUUUGGAGAAUGACAAAAAUGUAAAGAAUUAUGGUUGAAUGGAAAAAAAAUGUAAUAGUUGUAGUUUACUUGUAUUUGGUUAAAAUGUAAUCAAAUAUCAUGUAUGGUUGUAUGUUUAGCCUAGAGCUUUCGCUUCCGUUGUUGCUUGUCCUCGUGCAAGGCUUGUAUAAUUGCAAAAUCUCUUUGUUGUUUGUUUAAUUAUACAUGUUGUUUGAGCCUUGGGCGGACAGAGGAGAUACUGUCCGUUCGGCGUCUGUUGAUGUGACUCGAACCCGACCAAAUUGGCGGGGAUUGGGGCGUGACAAUACUAUUAUGAUACGAUCGCCCUCGUAAAGUUGUUUUUGAUGAUAGAGCUUCCGAAUCGACGAUCCACACCGUUAAACGUUAUUUACAGCAUUUAAAACUUCUAGAAAUCAAAUUUUAUAAUAUUUCGACAUCAUUUACCUUACGAUCAAGAGGUCACAAAUUGACAAUUUUUAAUGGCCGGUAUGGGAUACUUGCUAGUUUAACAGUGUAAAAGAAUCGGAAUUUGUUGAAUUUUUGAUAGAAAAAUCUAUUCACUACAUAGAUAAAGAUCAAUAACUCUGAUCUUGAAUUGAAGGAUCCGAUCAUCCUUUUUGAGAUCGUCGUUCGAUUUUGACCAUUCAUUUUAUGCCCACUUGAUGGACUUUAUUAUGAUUUUGAAAAUUUACAAAAUUUAUUUUCUAGAAGUUUCAAAUACUCUAGAUCAUAUUUAACGGAGUGGAUCGUCGA
RNAcentral lists this long non-coding RNA (808 nucleotides) under Ananas comosus (pineapple). RNAcentral's name for it is "long non-coding RNA (ACOM_LNC026812)". Lineage: Eukaryota; Viridiplantae; Streptophyta; Magnoliopsida; Poales; Bromeliaceae. The record is from RNAcentral.